UAUCCGGGGCAGCGGAGCAGGGCGGCCGAAACGGCCCUGGCAGAGGUCGGGCCCCUCGGGGCCGCGUGGCCAAUCAGAUCCCCCCUGAGAUCCUGAAGAACCCUCAGCUGCAGGCAGCAAUGCGGGUCCUGCCUUCCAACUACAACUUUGAGAUCCCCAAGACCAUCUGGAGGAUCCAACAAGCCCAGGCCAAGAAGGUGGCCUUGCAGAUGCCGGAAGGCCUCCUCCUCUUUGCCUGUACCAUUGUGGAUAUCUUGGAAAGGUUCACGGAGGCCGAAGUGAUGGUGAUGGGUGACGUGACCUACGGGGCUUGCUGUGUGGAUGACUUCACAGCGAGGGCCCUGGGAGCUGACUUCUUGGUGCACUACGGCCACAGUUGCCUGAUUCCCAUGGACACCUCGGCCCAAGACUUCCGGGUGCUGUACGUCUUUGUGGACAUCCGGAUAGACACUACGCACCUCCUGGACUCUCUCCGCCUCACCUUUCCCCCAGCCACUGCCCUUGCCCUGGUCAGCACCAUUCAGUUUGUGUCGACCUUGCAGGCAGCCGCCCAGGAGCUGAAAGCCGAGUAUCGUGUGAGUGUCCCACAGUGCAAGCCCCUGUCCCCUGGAGAGAUCCUGGGCUGCACAUCCCCCCGACUGUCCAAAGAGGUGGAGGCCGUUGUGUAAGUUAAAAAUGGGGGCCAAGUAAGUCCUAGAGACAUGCGUGUACCCUGGGAGGGAGCCUGAGGUUCAUCAUCCAGGAAAGAAACCAAAUCUAAUGCUCCUUACCUGUGAGCCUGAGGUCACACUGCAAGGUAGGGAUCAAACAGGGAGCAGACCUCAGGUUUACUGUCGCUUUCUCCACUGCCCAGUCCAUCAUCCAGAAGGCUGUGCAGGGUGGGGGCAGGAAUCAGAGGGCCUGAUGGGGGUUGAGGGUGGGCUGGAAAUGGUGGGAAUAUAAUUGGAGAAGAUGGAUGGGCACGCCCAGGCUGCAGCCCCAUUAAUUUACC
This 991-nucleotide small RNA is filed under the name Pan troglodytes (chimpanzee). Its description in RNAcentral is "retained intron". Lineage: Eukaryota; Metazoa; Chordata; Mammalia; Primates; Hominidae. The record is from RNAcentral.